ACAGCAGUAGCCGCGGUAAUACGUAUGUCACAAGCGUUAUCCGGAUUUAUUGGGCGUAAAGCGCGUCUAGGUGGUUAUGUAAGUCUGAUGUGAAAAUGCAGGGCUCAACUCUGUAUUGCGUUGGAAACUGCAUGACUAGAGUACUGGAGAAGUAAGCGGAACUACAAGUGUAGAGGUGAAAUUCGUAGAUAUUUGUAGGAAUGCCGAUGGGGAAGCCAGCUUACUGGACAGAUACUGACGCUAAAGCGCGAAAGCGUGGGUAGCAAACAGGAUUAGAUACCCGAGUAGUCCCUGUCUCUUAUACA
Molecule: ribosomal RNA, 305 nt
Filed under: uncultured bacterium
Lineage: Bacteria
Description: partial 16S ribosomal RNA
Rfam family: Bacterial small subunit ribosomal RNA
Source: RNAcentral